RNAcentral lists this long non-coding RNA (2111 nucleotides) under Sus scrofa (pig). RNAcentral's name for it is "lncRNA (ENSSSCG00025033401.1)". Lineage: Eukaryota; Metazoa; Chordata; Mammalia; Artiodactyla; Suidae. The record is from RNAcentral.
UUGCUUCCAAUUGCUUCUACGGUGUGCUGGUGACGGGAGGGGAACAACCACCAUCUCUCUAUAUGUUUACCCAUUUACCAGGAAAUAUGUUUAUACUGUUUUCCAAUCAGGAUUUACCACAAGCCGGGAGUUCCACACCUAAUGACCAGGCCAAACCCAGCCCACUGUCAACAGAGAAAAGUCGGCCUCAAACAUGAGAGAUUUUAAAUCACAAUGGACGUUCGAGGAGCAUGACUGCCAGCACUGUGAGCAGCAGGGCUGUCUCCAGCCGUCGACAGGGAUGCCGGCUUCAUCUUCCACAGCCCGCAGGCAGUUCCAGGCACCCCUUCUUGCUGGCAAAAUGGGAGUUCACAGGCCAGAGGAGCCAUCAGUCCUAACACAGCACAAAGAAGGAAACACGACCAUGAGAGAACGGAGAAGGGCCACCCUAGGCAGCCAGCCAAAGGGGCAAGAGGUAAAAAGAGUGGAAGUGGCGCGCCGUCGAGAUUCCCCAAAAGAAAAUAGAAAACCAUCUUGGACAACCAGCUACAGCGCGUACCAACAAAUAAAAAGAAGACAUUCUGGAGUUCCCGCUGUGACACGGGGGGUUAGGACCCUGAUUACAGAUGCCUGGGUUGCUGUGGAGGCAUGGGUUGAAUUGCCGGCCCAGGGCAGUGGCUUAAAGGAUCUGUCACUGCCACAGGCGCAGCGUAGAUCACAGCUGUGGCUCAGAUUCAAUCCCUGGCUUGGGAACGUCCAUAGGCCACAGGUGUGGCCACCAAAAAAAAAAAAAAAAAAAAAAAGCUGCCCAAGAAUCCCCAAGAUCCCCAUUGCAGAACUGUUCAGGCCAUACACUGUUCUGGUGAAGAGUACAGCCUGGAGUCAGGGCGCCUGGAUGUGAACCCUGGUUCUGAUACUUAGCUGUAGAUGUUGGGCAAGUUACUUAGCUUUUUAGCGCUCCAGUUUCUUCAUCAGUAACGUAGGAAUAGUAACAGUACCCACCUGAUACAGUUGUCAUGCAUCACUUCUUCUCUCCAAGUUUAAAAAUACCUUUCAAAAGAAACAAGGAGGAAAUUAACUUGCUAAGAUUAUAUACCUUGUAGCAGUUAAAAAAAAAAAAUCCCCAGAGAAGUUAAAUCAUCCAAAAUGAGGUUGGGAGAGGGAAGACGUGGAGGGGAAGACACUGAUGAAAAAUUCUGGCUCCCAGUCCUUCAGAAGAGGGUGAACUGUUGAGGGAACAGCACUGUGAGGAGGAAACUAGCAAAACACAGAGGAGGAAAGACCAUUAUGAAAGAAUAUUCAAAGUACUUUUAGGAAAUUCUCUGGAGGGAAGUAGGAAGGCAAGCGUCCUAUCUCAUGGUGAGGCAGAAAGAGAACUGGAGAGCAAUCAGAGAAUGGAGUUUUAUUUCUAAAUCUGACACUGGUAUCACCUUGGUCAACUGACCGCACCUGCCUCAGCCUCAUUUUCCUUAAAAUUAUCUCCAUGCACUCUACUCUCUUCAGCUCUCAUAAUCUUUGAUUCUAGCAAUCAGUACUCCAGUUCAGGAGAUCUGAUACUCACGGGUCCUUCCAUGAAGACACAUGAAAGUCUAUAGCAGGCAAAGCCCCUCCAUCAAUGAGGCAAAUCAAGGGAAUCCUAGAAGGCUGGUUGUGGAAUUGGGUUCUGAGGGCUCUGCUCUCUAGGGAACAAUUUGGCUUAGUUGUCUCUUUCAAAGUCAUGGAAUCACAGGAUUGCCCAAACUGGAAAGUACCCUGCACCCUCAUUCUGCAGGUUCAGAAAAGUCAAAUGACCUGGCCAAGGUCAUCCAGCAGAAUAUGGCAGAGCCAGGACUAGAGCUUGCCCACUGCCUCUGCUGUCUGUAAAUGCAGGGGCUCAAGGGCUAGAACACAGCAAGUGUGCCCUUACAUAUGACUUUUAAUUGAACAGUGUCUUGGACACAAGCAGGGCUGGGGCUAGGGUAAGGUAAACGGGGCACUGGUGUCAGGAGCAAAAUUAAAGGCGGAGCAUAAAAAAACUCAGCAUUAAAACACAGUAUCUUUAAUGCACUACUAAAAAUUAAAAAUCCAUGAACAAAAUACACAAUAUAACAUUUUCAAAUAAAGACAGAAAUGGGGAGUUUCUGUCGUGGCUC